UCGCUGGGUAUUAGGCAAUAGCUCUG
This 26-nucleotide non-coding RNA is filed under the name Mus musculus (house mouse). The record is from RNAcentral. Lineage: Eukaryota; Metazoa; Chordata; Mammalia; Rodentia; Muridae.